This 400-nucleotide unclassified non-coding RNA is filed under the name soil metagenome. RNAcentral's name for it is "partial contains 5.8S ribosomal RNA, internal transcribed spacer 2, and large subunit ribosomal RNA". The stretch from base 1 to 122 matches the Rfam family "5.8S ribosomal RNA", at positions 35 to 154 of the family's 154-position model. The record is from RNAcentral.
GAUGAAGAACGUAGCGAAAUGCGAUACUUGGUGUGAAUUGCAGAAUCCCGUGAACCAUCGGGUCUUUGAACGCAAGUUGCGCCUCAAGCCAUUAGGUUGAGGGCACGUCUGCCUGGGCGUCACAUAUCGUUGCCUGAUGCCAGUUUCCUCGUGAUGGGUGACUGUGCAGGGCGAAUGAUGGCUUCCCGUGAGCAUUGUUGCCUCAUGGUUGGUUGAAAAUUGAGUCCUUGGUAGGGAGCGCCGUGAUAGAUGGUGGUUGAGUGACGAACGAGACCCAAUCAUGUGAGACCCCUACCGAAUUUGGCCUUCAUGACCCACAUGCGUCUUUGGAACGCUCAUGACGAGACCUCAGGUCAGGCGGGGCUACCCGCUGAGUUUAAGCAUAUCAAUAAGCGGAGGA